GUGAAGCGAGACGGUGCGUUAAGCAAAUCNCAAAAACCCAGUCCCAGUUCGGAUUGCAGUCUGCAACUCGACUGCAUGAAGCUGGAAUCGCUAGUAAUCGCGGAUCAGAAUGCCGCGGUGAAUACGUUCCCGGGUCUUGUACACACCGCCCGUCACACCAUGGGAGUCGGAAAUGCCCGAAGUCAGUGACCCAACCGGAAGGAAGGAGCUGCCGAAGGUGGAGCCGGUAACUGGGGUGAAGUCGUAACAAGGUACC
This 256-nucleotide ribosomal RNA is filed under the name uncultured bacterium. Its description in RNAcentral is "partial 16S ribosomal RNA". It matches the Rfam family "Bacterial small subunit ribosomal RNA", at positions 1244 to 1500 of the family's 1533-position model. The record is from RNAcentral.